UAUGUUACCUGCCAGUGACAUUUGGCACUACUUCAGGUAUCUCCCACAGACACAAACCUGUGUCAGGCUGCAUGUUACCUGGCAGUGGCACCUGGCACUACUUCAGGUAUCUCCCACAGACACAAACCUGUGUCAGACUGCAUGUUACCUGGCAGUGACACAUGACACUACUUCAGGUAUCUCCCACAAACACAAACCUGUGUCAGGCUGUAUGUUACGUGGCAGUGACACAUGGCACUACUUCAGAUAUCUCCCACAGACACAAACCUGUGUCAGGCUGUAUGUUACGUGGCAGUGACACCUGGCACUACUUCAGAUAUCUCCCACAGAC
This 331-nucleotide unclassified non-coding RNA is filed under the name Haliotis rubra (blacklip abalone). RNAcentral's name for it is "uncharacterized LOC124256681, transcript variant X7". The record is from RNAcentral. Lineage: Eukaryota; Metazoa; Mollusca; Gastropoda; Lepetellida; Haliotidae.